RNAcentral lists this ribosomal RNA (407 nucleotides) under Streptomyces sp. 012-1.3-CV-A-03. RNAcentral describes it as "bacterial SSU rRNA". It matches the Rfam family "Bacterial small subunit ribosomal RNA", at positions 16 to 427 of the family's 1533-position model. The record is from RNAcentral. Lineage: Bacteria; Bacillati; Actinomycetota; Actinomycetes; Kitasatosporales; Streptomycetaceae.
AUCCUGGCUCAGGACGAACGCUGGCGGCGUGCUUAACACAUGCAAGUCGAACGAUGAAGCCCUUCGGGGUGGAUUAGUGGCGAACGGGUGAGUAACACGUGGGCAAUCUGCCCUUCACUCUGGGACAAGCCCUGGAAACGGGGUCUAAUACCGGAUAACACCGGCUUCCGCAUGGAAGCUGGUUAAAAGCUCCGGCGGUGAAGGAUGAGCCCGCGGCCUAUCAGCUUGUUGGUGGGGUAAUGGCCUACCAAGGCGACGACGGGUAGCCGGCCUGAGAGGGCGACCGGCCACACUGGGACUGAGACACGGCCCAGACUCCUACGGGAGGCAGCAGUGGGGAAUAUUGCACANUGGGCGAAAGCCUGAUGCAGCGACGCCGCGUGAGGGAUGACGGCCUUCGGGUUGUA